Paramuricea clavata is the source of this 563-nucleotide non-coding RNA. The record is from the annotation of a GenBank genome assembly. Lineage: Eukaryota; Metazoa; Cnidaria; Anthozoa; Malacalcyonacea; Plexauridae.
AAAGCAACUUUUAUGUCAUUUUUGUAAUGGUUUGUUUAAAAUCAAUUUUUAUACAGACAUGAUAGGGUGUCUCCUGGCUAGAAGCCUGCAUAUACAUAUACAAAUUUUCAGUUUUGUCAAUAAUAAUAGUUUAUUUUAUAAUUUCAAUUCUUACAAGAUUUGCAAUAAGUCAACAGAAUAAGUAUUCUAUUCUGAACUGUUGACAGGAAACAGUGUAAAUUCAUGAUCUCAUCCAAUAUGACACAAGAAUUCGAGACCCCCACCUCGGGCAUACCAGGGGUUAAUUUGGUGUGCGAAAUUCAGUGAAGUCCCCUGCAGCCAGGGCAAAAUGGCAAGGUAAAUUUCUUCGGUCCUAUCAUCCCCAGGUAUUCAAUUGGAAUUUUUACUUGAAAUUUCCCAAACCAUUCCUUUACUGUUCUAUAAAAGCCUUUCCUAGCCGACUGCUUUAUUUCAGCAUUUAUAUAGCCGACUGCUUUGUUUCAACAUUUAUAUAAAAGACUAAGUGACCCCCUCCCCCAUGACCUCAUUCAUUCCUCGACUUGGACACUGAAAGUAAGUGUCUU